This 604-nucleotide ribosomal RNA is filed under the name uncultured bacterium. RNAcentral's name for it is "partial 16S ribosomal RNA". The stretch from base 81 to 314 matches the Rfam family "Bacterial small subunit ribosomal RNA", at positions 106 to 311 of the family's 1533-position model. The record is from RNAcentral.
CGAUUGACUUCGCCAGUUUGACUGUUAUCAAUCAGUGAUCGAACAGAGUAGUGCUCCUUCGACGUUAGCGGCUGUGACGGGUGAGUAACACGUGGUGCAACCUACCUUAUAGUUUGGGAUAACUCCGGGAAACCUGGGGCUAAUACCGAAUAAUCUAUUUUACUUCAUGUGUGAAAUACUGAAAGACGUGUUUCUGUGCUGUCUGCUAUAAGAUUGUGUGCCCUGCUGUGCGCAUUAGCUAGUUGGUGAGUGUAACGUGCUCACCAANGGCGAUGAUUGCGUAAGGCCGACCUUGAGAGGGGUGAAUCGGCCACCAACCUGGGAACUUGGAAGAACACUGGGCCCANNGACUCCUAACGGGGAAGNGCCAGGCAAGUAGGGAAAUCCUUCCCACAAUUGUGGCGAAAAGCCCUUGAUUGGAUGCAAACGCCGUCGUUGGUGUUGAAGAGGGGUUUUUUCGGAUCNGUAAAAAACUCUUGUNUGUAAGUGACAUGGACACAANGUAACAGUUAGUUAAACUGGCUUGGUUAACCUUUGAACGGGGUACCUUUAUUAGAAACGCCCAACGGGCUAAACUAACGGUUGCCCACGGCAAGCCNGCUGG